Non-coding RNA from Pogona vitticeps (central bearded dragon), 1802 nucleotides. Lineage: Eukaryota; Metazoa; Chordata; Lepidosauria; Squamata; Agamidae. The record is from RefSeq and is a predicted model, not a curated record.
UUUGUAGGGGGAAGGAAGGAGAUGGGGUGGUUGAGCAACCUCCAGAUGGGAAGGGCCAAAGAAGGAGCACCAUCAUAGGUGAAAACUCUCCGCAGGACCCCCAUAUUUUGGGGAGUAUGAAAAAGGAACUAUGCCCUGGUCUGAAGGGAGAAGGUGGCUGCAUAGCUCAGUGCAUUAGGGGACCCAGAGGUUGGGAGUUCAAUUCCCCACUCAACUUCCCAAUCAGAGAGAUAGCCUGCGUUGUCUUGGGGAAGCUGCCCAGUCCCAGGGCAACCCCAGGAGAAGGGAAUGGGAAACUAUUUCUCAAGACGCUUUAGCUGGAAAACUCUGGAAAGGGUCACCCUAAGUCAGAAUUGACUUGAUGGCACAAAAUCAUCAUUCAUUAGGCAGAAAGAGAGUGUUAGAUAAGGAGUCUGGAGCCCUCCAUGGACAUUCCAGCACAGCCCUUGGGGGUGCAAAGUAUCUGUUUCUUCCUGUUGGGCAAUCCUUGAGAUCAGUUGACAUGUUAUCCCUUUUCUGGAGAGGAGGGAAUUCCCUCACCCUCAGCAAUGCCAAUGUUUCCCAGACCUGCCCUCGUCAUAGGCUUUUGAUGGCUAAUUUAGAUGUACUUCCGUAUCCCGGAGGGAAAGGCUUGGUUUGAUGAGGCUACACUGAAGACAGUGGAUUCAAAGCUUGAUCCCUCGAUCGCUGAAAGCCUGGGAGGUCUCUGGGCCUUCUUUCCCUGGCAAUGUUUAUGCAGAGACCAGAAACACACCUGGCGUGAUAGUUUUACUACACCUUACUACAAAUGUGUAUAUACUGGAUCUUCUCUGAGGACCCCCUACCAGUCCUGAUAUUCUGAUUGCAGUUGUGCAGGAAACCAGACACAGUGAGAGACCUACUAAAGCUACUUCGCCCCUUUCUGUCUCGGAAGGAUUAUUUCUGCAGCCUUCGAAAGCCCUUCUUCCCCAGACCCUGCUGCUCUGUCGCGAAUGCCUCUUUCCCUGGCUGGAGGUCAUUUUAUGUACCGUCCUAUGUUGGAGAAGAACAAGAAAGGGGAGCACAGUCCCUUUGCCUUCCUUCAGAUGGUCUUUGAUGCCUCCUGCAUUUCUCGGAUACUUCUGAUAUUGAGGAGAGGAACAAAAAACACAUAGAAGGAAAAAGCUUUUCUCAUCAUAACAACAUUACACACUAUGCCACACACACCAGAUACCAACAACAAUCAUGAAGCAGUUCAGGAGAAGGAAGGCUUCAUUUCCAAAAGCUGCCAGCACAGAACUCAUGGAUUUUCUUCCAUAGAUUUUAAUUGGCAGAUGGUUAGAUAAGCAUUAGAAAAUGUAGUGUUUCCAUGUGUGUUUUUUUAAUAUAAAGACUAAGAAAUGCUUUUUUACUUUACAUAUUCUUUCUUUUAAGAACUUUGCUACAUUCUAUGCUUUUUCAAUGUGCCUUUUCAGGCUACAGUAUAAGCUUUUGUAUUUUUAAAAUGUAAGCUACUGCCCUAUUGAAACAUUUAUGACAUGAGUUAAGUUUUCCCUACGAAUUAAGCUUUGUUUUUCCAUGUCCCUUUUGUUUGCAUAACUGUAAGAAUUUUGGACAGCAAUCUCACCUACAGCUUUCCAUACAUUGAAAGAAUAGAUUUCUACCGAAGCAUUUCUGCCUACAAUUUUUAUCAUAGCUGUAAGAAUGUUUACUACAUGUUUGAGUUUUUACUUUUUGAAGUAUUUUGUGCAUGUGGAAUAUAGAAGCAUUGUAGAAUUAGACAAGCUGAUGCUGUCUGGAAUUAUUGCAACAAUAAAAUGACUUUUACUUGAUACUCAGAUAAA